Molecule: ribosomal RNA, 460 nt
Filed under: uncultured bacterium
Lineage: Bacteria
Description: partial 16S ribosomal RNA
Rfam family: Bacterial small subunit ribosomal RNA
Source: RNAcentral
CCUACGGGGGGCAGCAGUGAGGAAUAUUGGUCAAUGGACGAGAGUCUGAACCAGCCAAGUAGCGUGAAGGAUGACUGCCCCAUGGGUUGUAAACUUCUUUUAUAUGGGAAUAAAACGUUCCACGUGUGGGAUUUUGUAUGUCCCAUAUGAAUAAGGAUCGGCUAACUCCGUGCCAGCAGCCGCGGUAAUACGGAGGAUCCGAGCGUUAUCCGGAUUUAUUGGGUUUAAAGGGAGCGUAGGUGGAUUGUUAAGUCAGUUGUGAAAGUUUGCGGCUCAACCGUAAAAUUGCAGUUGAAACUGGCAGUCUUGAGUACAGUAGAGGUGGGCGGAAUUCGUGGUGUAGCGGUGAAAUGCUUAGAUAUCACGAAGAACUCCGAUUGCGAAGGCAGUUCACUGGACUGCAACUGACACUGAGGCUCGAAAGUGUGGGUAUCAAACAGGAUUAGAUACCCGUGUAGUC